CCUACGGGGGGCAGCAGUGGGGAAUAUUGGACAAUGGGGGCAACCCUGAUCCAGCCAUGCCGCGUGUGUGAAGAAGGCCCUCGGGUUGUAAAGCACUUUCAGUGAGGAAGAACGCCUGGUGGUUAAUACCCAUCAGGAAAGACAUCACUCACAGAAGAAGCACCGGCUAACUCCGUGCCAGCAGCCGCGGUAAUACGGAGGGUGCGAGCGUUAAUCGGAAUUACUGGGCGUAAAGCGCGCGUAGGUGGCUUGAUAAGCCGGUUGUGAAAGCCCCGGGCUCAACCUGGGAACGGCAUCCGGAACUGUCAAGCUAGAGUGCAGGAGAGGAAGGUAGAAUUCCCGGUGUAGCGGUGAAAUGCGUAGAGAUCGGGAGGAAUACCAGUGGCGAAGGCGGCCUUCUGGAAUGACACUGACACUGAGGUGCGAAAGCGUGGGUAGCAAACAGGAUUAGAUACCCGAGUAGUC
This 465-nucleotide ribosomal RNA is filed under the name Vreelandella stevensii. RNAcentral's name for it is "partial 16S ribosomal RNA". It matches the Rfam family "Bacterial small subunit ribosomal RNA", at positions 338 to 795 of the family's 1533-position model. Lineage: Bacteria; Pseudomonadati; Pseudomonadota; Gammaproteobacteria; Oceanospirillales; Halomonadaceae. The record is from RNAcentral.